RNAcentral lists this ribosomal RNA (588 nucleotides) under uncultured Glomus. Its description in RNAcentral is "SSU rRNA". It matches the Rfam family "Eukaryotic small subunit ribosomal RNA", at positions 624 to 1213 of the family's 1831-position model. Lineage: Eukaryota; Fungi; Glomeromycota; Glomeromycetes; Glomerales; Glomeraceae. The record is from RNAcentral.
AAGCUCGUAGUUGAAUUUCGAGAUCAGUACGCUGGUCGUGCCUUCGGUAUGCACUGGUGUCACUGGUUUCUCCCUUCUGAAGAACCGUCAUGUCAUUAAGUUGGUGUGGCGGGGAAUCAGGACUGUUACUUUGAAAAAAUUAGAGUGUUUAAAGCAGGCUCGCGCUUGAGUACGUUAGCAUGGAAUAAUGAAAUAGGACGUUUGACCCUAUUUUGUUGGUUUCUAGGAUCGACGUAAUGAUUAAUAGGGAUAGUUGGGGGCAUUAGUAUUCAAUUGUCAGAGGUGAAAUUCUUGGAUUUAUUGAAGACUAACUACUGCGAAAGCAUUUGCCAAGGAUGUUUUCAUUAAUCAAGAACGAAGGUUAGGGGAUCGAAGACGAUCAGAUACCGUCGUAGUCUUAACCAUAAACUAUGCCGACUAGGGAUCGGAUGAUGUUAAUUUUUUAAUGUCUCAUUCGGCGCCUUACGGGAAACCAAAGUGUUUGGGUUCCGGGGGGAGUAUGGUCGCAAGGCUGAAACUUAAAGGAAUUGACGGAAGGGCACCACCAGGGGUGGAGCCUGCGGCUUAAUUUGACUCAACACGGGGAAA